Molecule: ribosomal RNA, 478 nt
Filed under: uncultured bacterium
Lineage: Bacteria
Description: bacterial SSU rRNA
Rfam family: Bacterial small subunit ribosomal RNA
Source: RNAcentral
UUCGCAAUGCCCGAAAGGGUGACGAAGCGACGCCGCGUGGGUGAGGAAGGCCCUCGGGUUGUAAAGCCCUGUCAGGAGUUAAGAAAUGUAAGUGUGCUAAUACCAUAUUUAUUUGACGAAGGCUCCAAAGGAAGCCACGGCUAACUCUGUGCCAGCAGCCGCGGUAAUACAGAGGUGGCAAGCGUUGUUCGGAAUUAUUGGGCGUAAAGAGCACGUAGGUGGGUUUGUAAGUCAGAUGUGAAAGCCUUCUGUUCAACGGGAGAAUUGCAUCUGAAACUACUGAUCUUGAGUGUAGGAGGGGAGAAUGGAACUUCUGGUGGAGCGGUGAAAUGCGUAGAUAUCAGAAGGAACGCCGGCGGCGAAAGCGAUUCUCUGGCCUAUUACUGACACUCAGUGUGCGAAAGCUAGGGGAGCAAACGGGAUUAGAUACCCCGGUAGUCCUAGCCGUAAACGAUGGGCACUAAGUAGAGGGGUUUUA